Rhincodon typus (whale shark) is the source of this 73-nucleotide non-coding RNA. The record is from the annotation of a RefSeq genome assembly. NCBI's taxonomy places the organism in Eukaryota, Metazoa, Chordata, Chondrichthyes, Orectolobiformes, Rhincodontidae.
GCCCGGCUAGCUCAGUCGGUACAGCAUGAGACUCUUAAUUUCAGGGUCGUGAGUUCGACCCCCACGUUGGGCG